RNAcentral lists this ribosomal RNA (402 nucleotides) under uncultured bacterium. Its description in RNAcentral is "bacterial SSU rRNA". It matches the Rfam family "Bacterial small subunit ribosomal RNA", at positions 355 to 774 of the family's 1533-position model. The record is from RNAcentral.
UGGGGAAUAUUGGACAAUGGGGGAAACCCUGAUCCAGCAAUGCCGCGUGAGUGAAGAAGGCCUUAGGGUUGUAAAGCUCUUUCGCCCGCGAAGAUAAUGACGGUAGCGGGAGAAGAAGCCCCGGCUAACUCCGUGCCAGCAGCCGCGGUAAUACGGAGGGGGCUAGCGUUGUUCUGAAUUACUGGGCGUAAAGCGUACGUAGGCGGAUGCGCAAGUUGGGGGUGAAAUCCCGGGGCUUAACCUCGGAAUUGCCCUCAAAACUGCAAGUCUUGAGACCGAGAGAGGUAAGGGGAAUUCCUAGUGUAGCGGUGAAAUUCGUAGAUAUUAGGAAGAACACCAGUGGCGAAGGCGCCUUACUGACUCGGUACUGACGCUGAGGUACAAAAGCGUGGGGAGCAAACA